Molecule: ribosomal RNA, 1521 nt
Filed under: Thermogemmatispora argillosa
Lineage: Bacteria; Bacillati; Chloroflexota; Ktedonobacteria; Thermogemmatisporales; Thermogemmatisporaceae
Description: bacterial SSU rRNA
Rfam family: Bacterial small subunit ribosomal RNA
Source: RNAcentral
UGGCGAGUUUGAUCCUGGCUCAGGACGAACGCUGGCGGCGUGCCUAACACAUGCAAGUCGAACGCUCUCCCCGCGAGGGGAGGGAGUGGCGGACGGGUGAGGAACACGUGGGUAACCUGCCCUGCAGUGGGGGAUACCGGUGCGAAAGCGCCGACAAUCCCGCAUACGGUGGCGCCUUGCGAGAGGCGUCAGGAAAGCUCCGUGCCGGAGGGCGCGGGGCGCUGCAGGAGGGGCCUGCGCCCGAUUAGCUUGUUGGUAGGGUAAAGGCCUACCAAGGCGACGAUCGGUAGCUGGUCUGAGAGGACGGCCAGCCACACUGGGAUUGAGAGACGGCCCAGACUCCUACGGGGGGCAGCAGUGAGGGAUCUUCGGCAAUGGGCGCAAGCCUGACCGAGCGACGCCGCGUGCAGGAAGAAGGCCUUCGGGUUGUAAACUGCUUUUCUGGGGGAAGAGAAGAGGACGGUACCCCAGGAAGAAGCCCCGGCAAACUACGUGCCAGCAGCCGCGGUAAGACGUAGGGGGCGAGCGUUGUCCGGAGUUACUGGGCGUAAAGGGCCUGUAGGCGGUCUGGCAGGUUCCCGCUGACAGCUCGCGGCUUCACUGCGAGAGAGGCGGGAAGACGGUCGGACUUGGAGGGCCACAGAGGGACAUGGAAUUCCCGGUGGAGCGGUGAAAUGCGUAGAGAUCGGGAAGAACACCGAAGGCGAAGGCAGUGUCCUGGGUGGUACCUGACGCUGAGAGGCGAAAGCUAGGGGAGCGAACGGGAUUAGAUACCCCGGUAGUCCUAGCCGUAAACGAUGACCACUAGGUGUGUGGGGAGAUCGACCCCCUGCGCGCCGAAGCGAACGCAGUAAGUGGUCCGCCUGGGGAGUACGGCCGCAAGGCUAAAACUCAAAGGAAUUGACGGGGACCCGCACAAGCAGCGGAGCGUGUGGUUUAAUUCGAUGCAACGCGAAGAACCUUACCAGGGUUGGACAAGCACGCUGAGGGUCCAGAGAUGGGCCGGCCCGCAAGGGAGGCGUGCUCAGGUGCUGCAUGGCUGUCGUCAGCUCGUGCCGUGAGGUGUUGGGUUAAGUCCCGCAACGAGCGCAACCCUCGCUCUCGGUUGGAGGUUUCCGAGGGGACUGCCGCGCACAACGCGGAGGAAGGUGGGGAUGACGUCAAGUCAGCAUGGCCCUGACAUCCUGGGCGACACACACGCUACAAUGGUCGGGACAGCGGGCAGCGACCCGGCGACGGGAAGCGAAUCCCUAAAACCCGAUCUCAGUGCAGAUUGCAGGCUGCAACCCGCCUGCAUGAAGGAGGAGUUGCUAGUAACCGCCGGUCAGCACACGGCGGUGAAUACGUUCUCGGGUCUUGUACACACCGCCCGUCACACCACGAAAGCCGGCAACACCUGAAGCCGUCGGGCUAACCCUGUGCUAAGGCAUGGGGAGGCAGGCGUCGAAGGUGGGGUCGGUGAUUGGGGUGAAGUCGUAACAAGGUAGCCGUACCGGAAGGUGCGGCUGGAUCACCUCCUUU